RNAcentral lists this ribosomal RNA (111 nucleotides) under Triticum aestivum (bread wheat). RNAcentral's name for it is "partial small subunit ribosomal RNA". The record is from RNAcentral. Lineage: Eukaryota; Viridiplantae; Streptophyta; Magnoliopsida; Poales; Poaceae.
AUGUUGUCAAGUGUCUUUCCAUCUCGUGAAGUUCAUGUUCUUUUCCUUCCAUUUUCAGCCGGAGUGCUGCCUAAAUCCUUUCAGUCUUAUUCGUUUCGUAUUUCGUUCUAA